UAGAAAAGAAGAGGUGCGAUAAAAACUAAAUUGGAAGAGAGAAUUGUUGCACAAAAAUGAGAGGGUGAAAAAUAAAGAAUAAAGAGAGUAGAGAUUAGACAAGAAGACUCAAUAUGUAUUUAGAAAAGAAGAUGCCAUACUGCUGUGAGAGGUUUGAGAAGGCUAAAACUGAAACCCCGAGUGUGAGGAGGAGAAAAUCAUUUAUAACUGUAAGGCUAAG
This 220-nucleotide long non-coding RNA is filed under the name Lathyrus oleraceus (garden pea). RNAcentral describes it as "Pisum sativum (pea) long non-coding RNA (PSAT_LNC009890)". Lineage: Eukaryota; Viridiplantae; Streptophyta; Magnoliopsida; Fabales; Fabaceae. The record is from RNAcentral.